GCAAGUCGAACGGGAUUGAUUGGUACUUGUAUCAAGCAUGAGAGUGGCGCACGGGUGAGUAACACGUGGGAACAUACCCAGAAGUGGGGGAUAACAGUUGGAAACGACUGCUAAUACCGCAUAAUCCCUGAGGGGGAAAGCUUUAGUGCUUUUGGAUUGGCCCGAGGUAGAUUAGGUAGUUGGUGAGGUAAUGGCUCACCAAGCCUACGAUCUAUAGCUGGUCUGAGAGGAUGAUC
Molecule: ribosomal RNA, 236 nt
Filed under: uncultured bacterium
Lineage: Bacteria
Description: partial 16S ribosomal RNA
Rfam family: Bacterial small subunit ribosomal RNA
Source: RNAcentral